RNAcentral lists this ribosomal RNA (375 nucleotides) under uncultured eukaryote. RNAcentral's name for it is "partial 18S ribosomal RNA". It matches the Rfam family "Eukaryotic small subunit ribosomal RNA", at positions 592 to 976 of the family's 1831-position model. The record is from RNAcentral.
CAAUAGCGUAUAUUUAAGUUGUUGCAGUUAAAAAGCUCGUAGUUGGAUUUCGGUUAAGAGCGACCGGUCCGCCGUUUGGUGUGCACUGGUUGGUUUUAACUUCCUGUAGAGGACGUGCUCUGGGUUUAACGACCUGGACUCGGAGUCUACGUGGUUACUUUGAAAAAAUUAGAGUGUUCAAAGCGGGCUCACGCUUGAAUAUUUCAGCAUGGAAUAACACUAUAGGACUCCUGUCCUAUUUCGUUGGUCUCGGGACGGGAGUAAUGAUUAAGAGGAACAGUUGGGGGCAUUCGUAUUUCAUUGUCAGAGGUGAAAUUCUUGGAUUUAUGAAAGACGAACUUCAGCGAAAGCAUUUGCCAAGGAUGUUUUCAUUAA